UUGAGCGAUUUACUUCGGUAAAGAGCGGCGGACGGGUGAGUAACGCGUGGGUAACCUACCCUGUACACACGGAUAACAUACCGAAAGGUAUGCUAAUACGGGAUAAUAUAUUUGAGAGGCAUCUCUUGAAUAUCAAAGGUGAGCCAGUACAGGAUGGACCCGCGUCUGAUUAGCUAGUUGGUAAGGUAACGGCUUACCAAGGCGACGAGCAGUAGCCGACCUGAGAGGGUGAUCGGCCACAUUGGAACUGAGACACGGUCCAAACUCCUACGGGAGGCAGCAGGGGGGAAUAUUGCACAAUGGGCGGAAGCCUGAUGCAGCAACGCCGCGGGAGUGAUGAAGGCCUUCGGG
RNAcentral lists this ribosomal RNA (351 nucleotides) under Clostridioides difficile. RNAcentral describes it as "bacterial SSU rRNA". It matches the Rfam family "Bacterial small subunit ribosomal RNA", at positions 62 to 422 of the family's 1533-position model. The record is from RNAcentral. Lineage: Bacteria; Bacillati; Bacillota; Clostridia; Peptostreptococcales; Peptostreptococcaceae.